GAGUUUGAUCCUGGCUCAGAAUGAACGCUGGCGGCAUGCCUAACACAUGCAAGUCGAACGAGAUCUUCGGAUCUAGUGGCGCACGGGUGAGUAACGCGUGGGAACCUACCUUUUAGUACGGGACAACGUUUGGAAACGAACGCUAAUACCGUAUACGCCCUCCGGGGGAAAGGUCAGCCGCUAAAAGAGGGGCCCGCGUCUGAUUAGCUUGUUGGUAAGGUAAUGGCUUACCAAGGCUACGAUCAGUAGCUGGUCUGAGAGGAUGAUCAGCCACACUGGGACUGAGACACGGCCCAGACUCCUACGGGAGGCAGCAGUGGGGAAUAUUGGACAAUGGAGGCGACUCUGAUCCAGCAAUGCCGCGUGUGUGAUGAAGGCCUUAGGGUUGUAAAGCACUUUCAACGGUGAAGAUGAUGACGGUAGCCGUAGAAGAAGCCCCGGCUAACUUCGUGCCAGCAGCCGCGGUAAUACGAAGGCGGCGAGCGUUAUUCGGAAUUAUUGGGCGUAAAGGGCUCGCAGGCUGCUUGAACAGUUAGACGUGAAAUCCCCGGGCUCAACCUGGGAACUGCGUUUAAUACUAGCAAGCUAGAGAAAUAGAGAGGAAAGUGGAACUCCCAGUGUAGAGGUGAAAUUCGUAGAUAUUGGGAAGAACACCAGUGGCGAAAGCGACUUUCUGGCUAUUUUCUGACGCUGAGGAGCGAAAGCGUGGGGAGCAAACAGGAUUAGAUACCCUGGUAGUCCACGCCGUAAACGAUGUGUGCUAGAUGUUGGAGGGAUACCUUUCAGUGUCGCAGCUAACGCACUAAGCACACCGCCUGGGAAGUACGGUCGCAAGAUUAAAACUCAAAGGGAUUGACGGGGGCCCGCACAAGCGGUGGAGCAUGUGGUUUAAUUCGACGCAACGCGCAGAGCCUUACCAGCCCUUGACAUGUGGAGUUUGGUUAUCAGAGAUGAUUUCCUUCAGUUCGGCUGGCUCCAACACAGGUGCUGCAUGGCUGUCGCCAGCUCGUGUCGUGAGAUGUUGGGUUAAGUCCCGCAACGAGCGCAACCCUCAUCUUUAGUUGCCAUCAGUUCGGCUGGGCACUCUAGAGAAACUGCCUGGGAUGACCAGGAGGAAGGCGAGGAUGACGUCAAGUCCUCAUGGCCCUUAUGGGCUGGGCUACACACGUGCUACAAUGGCGGUGACAAAGGGACGCAAUAGGGCAACCUGGAGCAAAUCCCUAAAAGCCGUCUCAGUUCGGAUUGUUCUCUGCAACUCGAGAGCAUGAAGUUGGAAUCGCUAGUAAUCGUAGAUCAGCAUGCUACGGUGAAUACGUUCCCGGGCCUUGUACUCACCGCCCGUC
Molecule: ribosomal RNA, 1343 nt
Filed under: uncultured marine bacterium
Lineage: Bacteria
Description: bacterial SSU rRNA
Rfam family: Bacterial small subunit ribosomal RNA
Source: RNAcentral